Phyllopteryx taeniolatus (common seadragon) is the source of this 7047-nucleotide long non-coding RNA. RefSeq lists it as uncharacterized. The record is from RefSeq and is a predicted model, not a curated record. NCBI's taxonomy places the organism in Eukaryota, Metazoa, Chordata, Actinopteri, Syngnathiformes, Syngnathidae. The transcript has 3 exons.
GACUCCUCCAGCCUUGAAUUCUCACUCCCCUCCAUAUCUGCACACGGGUCACUUCCACAGAUCCCGAGGGCAUCGCUCUCUUUUCUUUUAUUCAUCUCCACAUCCUUCAACUCUAAUAUAUUUUGAGUCUCUCUGCUGUACUGUUCAUAGUGCGCUGAUCACUGCUCUAUCGUCUUCUCUGUUUUCCCUCAAGAGUGACGUGUCACUGAAGGAAUACUUGUAUUACUGAACUUUCACACUCGAAGAGUGGACCAGAGAGGAAGAGCCCUCCGAUAAUGUACCUGACAGACUCAAGAAGACAAAUAGAAACAAUUUUCUCUUCCUGCAUUAGACUCAAUCUGUCGGGUUCGGCAGGAUACACAGGCAUCACUGUGGCAUGGGAUGAGAAAACAUACGGAGCAUUUUAGGCAAGUUCUUAGGAGAAGACUUGAAAAAUGGGCAGUUGUUAGCUCCUGGAAGAAAAGGGAGGAGAGAGCAGUAUGACUCACAGCAGCUCGAAUACUGUGCGUUUUGUAUGCAGGAGGGGGGCUAGAGAGAGAUAGAGGGGAAAUGAGAGAGACACAGGGAAAGAAAAAGAGCAGACCUUAACAGACGCGAACAGUCGUCAGACAGGGAUGAGGAAGGACGACGCAAGCCAGAGCCAGUGACUUCGAGACAGUGGGCCAAGUGAAUCAGCUUGCUGGAGGGUGAGGAAGGUGAGAAGUGGACGAGAGUUGAGGAUCUGACGGGUUUAGCAUGAGGGAAGGGUCACUGAAGAUUUGCUGCCUGAUGGACAUUGGAAUCAGGACUGCAAAGGACAGAAGAACCGGCUGAAAGGUACUUAAAACCGACUGUUUUGCUGUAGGGGGAGACUGGAUAACUGUAUAUUGAAAGGGUCGCAUAUACUGUCGAAAAUGACCACAAAUGUGACAUAAGGGGAACAAAUCAGGCCACAGAGCAAAAAUCCAAGCAGGAAGAUGAAUUCAAGAAUAAAAAAGAAUGCAGAAUACAAUUGCUGCAGAUGAGAAAACAUCAGUCUUUGCACCACACCGGGGACAGCAUGGAAACUUUAACUGUGACAACGACACAGCAAGAGAUUUCUGUUAAAUAUUCAUGCUGACAGGCCACUCUGGAAACAACUUGCUUCCUCCUCCACAGAAGGAAAACAGAAAAGAAAACUGCUUUCAUUAUGUGGGAUUUUUACGCUAGACAAGUUGGCAAGUGCACCAGGUUAUGUUGACGUCUUGCAGCGAAUUGAAACAGGACCAUGUCGUACGAGCCGCAACGUGGCCUGCUGGGAGUGCUCGGUCAGUCAUGAAGAGAGAGGAUUGACAACUGACAGAAGGACUGUAGCUGUGACUGUCAAGAGGAGGAAAUAAACAUUUGAGCGACCAUUAGAAUGACAUGGGGACUGCAGCCAUAUCUAUUCUAUGUGAGAUAAAUCUAUUCUUGGCUUAUACAGACAAUUGCAUUUUGUAUAGACUCUUGACCUGCUUUGAAAUCCACUAAGAGUUACUAAUUACUGCCAAAUAUAGAAUUUUUAAUUUCCUCUUGGACUGAAUAUAACCUUUCAGAGUUGGCCUUAUUUUCAAAAUUUGCCCAGAGUUGGAAUACUUUUAAAGUUUGAGGAAGGAAACAUUUUUUUUUUCUUCACAUCAACCAAAAUAAAGCAGGACAAUGAACAGCCUCCAAUCCUGAAACCGUAGAAAGACCAGCUUUGUGUUAAUUUAUCCAAGGACUAUCGAGGAGCUCUGCUAAACAUGCUUGAGUGAUGCUGUAGACCUGUGUGUGCCUGCCAAGCUUUGAAGCCAGCUGUUUCUGAACAUUACCCCGCCAAACCCCAUCCAUUAACACCCGGAGCUGCAUGUGUUGCGUGGAUGCUGCCCACCAGCCACAGGGCUGGACCUGAACAGCAGCGGUGAGCGGGGGCACCCGGAGGAGAAGAAUAGAAAGGAGAAAGAAAUCAACAGGCAAAAGGACUGGAAAAAAACUGAUAUCAUGCUCAGAUAAACAGAAGAAAGAAAAUAGUUUCUGGUUGCACCCUUGGGUACAAUGUGUGGCGGCACUGCAUCAAAAACCGACAUCAAUGUGUAAAGGAUAUCACCACAUGGGCUCAGAAACACUUCAGAAAACCAAUGUCAGCGUCGUGCCCUGUGGCGGUGGGGUUCUGUGAUGUUAACCAUGAUACCCGGCAGCCACUAUAUCUGUAGUACUCAUGCAAGAGAGGAUGACUCGACGAACGAUCGAGAGGAGCGGAUUUUAGCCGUGCUGGGCAUCAUCGGAACCAUUCUCAAUCUUUUAGUGGUCAUAUUCGUUUACAUCUACACCUCUGUCACAUAAGACCUUCAGACAGACUUGAACAAGAACUAUUGGUGCCAAACCAACAUCCUUACCGCCAUACAUCUCUUCAAGUAUUUAAUGUGCUUGGAGGGUUAGGUUAUUAUGUGCUUAGAUGGAAGGAUCCUUGGCAGUGUGUACAGCUGGAUUGUCGCCAACUGCAUCAAUUUACUGCUGUAAGAAUACUCCACAUUUACUGACAAUAGCUGCCAAAUGUCACAAUAGAGAGGAGUUCCAUGAGGCAUCUUGUCUCCCUUCCUUCUCAUAUUGAACUUUUCAUUUUAAGACCGCCUCAAGCCAAAUCAUUGCUGAUAGUGACUACUUGCGCUCAUGACUUGGUAUUUCUAUGAAAACGGGACUCCAUCCAAUGGUGGAUUUUACAGUGCUGUUUUUCAUACGAGACUAUAUGACACUGUUCAUAGGGUGGGCUUUGUUUCACUGCCACAUGAAUAUUUACCCAAACGGACCAAACAGAUUUAGCAGAUUGAGUAAAUAGCCACUAAGAACUAUUGACUGAAGGACCUUUGUGCCUCUCCUUUAAAGUUGUAACUUCAUGAGUUCCACCUUUUUUGCAUAAUAUGAGUUGCUAUAGUUAGCAGCCUUUAAAAACCUUUCCAUGGACCUAAUGUGUCCAUACCUGAGCUCGGGGUUAUCGGUAUCAUGCUCAACCUCUUGCUGCUCGCCAUUGUCUACAUAUACACAUCCAUAUGAGAAACUGCUUACUCAAACACACUAUGAGUACCUAUAAUAGUGUGCAUAAGGUAUAUUUCCUGUAAACAUGUAAAUAUCCUUGAGCUAAUACUGGGUUUCAUAUCUAUAUUACAUAUCUCAAAAUGAGAUAUUUAUGUCCUCUCUAUAUAUCUGAUAGUUUGACUGAAGUUUUGCAUCCUUAAAGUUGCAUUGCAUAAAGCCACCAAAGUUGAGAUGAACAUCAUGACGUUUACUUUAGCUUGCUUUGCCGUGACCGUAGCUCAGUUCUAACCAAACUGACCGAUAUAAUUGAAUUAAAGUUAUUUGCUCUUUAUGCUUCUUCAUGUUCAAACUAUAAAACACACCAAAGUGGAACGAGAGGGUGUUGACAAGUCAGUGUGGGCAGCAGCUCAUCAUCAACAGCAAAAGAUCCCUUUGUGGAUGCUCAGUGUCAUAGAAUAAUGGUUUAUAUAUUGUUUCCAUGCCUCUUUGAUUGGAUCGGUCAGGCAGUCACCGAGCACUGUCAGAGGUGGCAAAGUUUGAAACUGAGACAAUGUCACACAAAUCAAGAUAGUGUGAUGCUGCAGUGUAACUUAAAGGCGCAGGAUGUUUGCAAAGGAAAUGAGCAGAACUACAGGGGAUUGUCUCACAUAAGAGGGCUGAAAGCAUCUGUGUAUGGUUUCUCAUCACAACAAGAUAACAAAAACUAUCUGCAAGUAGGUUCCAGCUUUCCCAUUGAUGGUGCAUGUCAGUGUGGAUACGAUUUGUGUGCGUUUAAGGGAAGAGAAAAUGCAAAUUCCAAAAGAGCAGGAAGAACAGGUCUGAAUCUUCAUCUGAUCCUCAUCAUUCUCUUCUCGACCAACAAGCUAAAACCAGAGAAGACAUAAUACAAUCUGGACCCACAUGAAUCUCUGCAGCGAAGCACAUCACUUUUAUAUUGCCAUCAGUGUAUCUAACACCUGAGGACAUCAACCACAGAAAUAACCAGGGCAACCUGCAAAUUGCUUCCCUUAAUGAAAGUUUCCUUUUCUGGCUUGUGAAAAUAAGUUUUUAAAAAAGAGUGUUUUAUCAUCAUUACAAUGAAAGUAGUAACAUUGAGCAGUUUAGCAUAUCUGCGCUAUUGGAUGAUUGUCUUCAGACAUACUGUUAAAAAAAACAACAACAACAACAAAAACACUAUGGCCAUGUCUAGACAAACAAGCAGUCGUGAAUUUUCUGAUUGCAUGACAAGCUUUCAUUCAUAGUUUUUCAUCUCUGUUGAUACCUCAAACAGCAAAACAGAUACGAAUGAAUAUGUUCUAUAUUAUAUAUAAAUAUUUCAUAACCAUCUUGCUAAUAGACCACACUUAGGGGACCCUUGAAAAUCAACAUGUUGCAUCACAUGCCAAAUGUAUAUGUAUAUUUCAACUUCAGUCUUUAUAUCUUGGGACAUCAAAUUUGGUUAGAAUAACGCUUAAGCUUUUGUUUAAGUAAACUAUAAAGUCAUUCCCAAAUACUGUAUAUAGAUUCAGAUGUGCGAUAUGUCAGAUAGGCGUACAUUUCCAUUUCUGUUUGAAGUUAACAAGUUAAUACUUAAAGAAUCCAACUUGAGACAAGGCGACCUAUUAGCAAAACUGCUUCAAAGGGCCCGUAUUUUGGCUCUUUAGACCUCCUUAGAGUGACUCUGAUACAUGGACUUACUAUAAAAGUGUCUGUUUCAAAUUUUUUUUAAACCACCUUGGUUUUGUUAUACGAGUGUCCAGAAAAGGCCCCUCUGACAGCUACUUCUGUUUGACCCAGUUUUGUAUCCACUUUGUCCAUAUUUGGCAAAGACCGCCCCCUUUCCUCUGAUUGAUUGCCUCCGUGUAGAAGACUCACUUUGAGAGAACACGUGUUUGUUAUUUUGACAGCGCUGGCUGGAGACCCAAAAGGGAAUGCGAGGAUCUUCGCUAGUGACGCAGAUAAGCUCAAGAAAUUCGAAUGACCUGAUUUCAGGCCUCUCGGCAGAAAAACAUCAGGAACUCAGGAAUGCGUGGACGAUUUUAAUUCAUAUUUCACAUGUUUACUGAGGCACCAUAGAGACAAUAUUAUAUCCCAAAUACUAGAAAAAGUUGGUUCGGCAAAAUAUUUCCCCUUUAAAUUAUCAUUUAGAUUAUUUCGUUCAACCAACGCUGUCAUUUCAAUGUCUUGGUAUUACCCAAACUGUAUUUUAAUUAUGCGUCACAGUUUACAGAUUCAUAAUUUGUUUCCGAUUAGACACGGCUUGUCAUGGUAGUUAAGCGUACAGCUACAUUAAAUGACAACUGGCUAUACUGUUAAUUACGGCUUCUGUUAUCGAUAUUCAUUAACCUUUGCAUAAAUGUAUUCAUAUAUGAAAAUCAAGAUGUGUUUCAUGUAAACAUCCUCACCCAACUGGUCUCGACAAAGACUGAACGACUGAGUGCAGAGACAAAAUAAUUGCAACACUCAUUAGUUACAGUUUAUUGAUACCAUCAUACAUUUUCAAAGUGUCAAGCAUCGGCAUGCAGACAUCUACUGUACACUAACAAAUAAAAACUAUAACAGUAAAGCCACUACAAUGUAUCAUACCACACAAUUGAAAAUGUCCUGUUGAAUUCUGAACAAGCAAAUACAUAGAAAGCAUUUAACUAGCUCAGGCGGAGUUCUUACUUACCAAUGUGGCUUUCAAAGGUCAACCAAAAAUAUAUCUAUAUAUGUAUAUUUUUAGAAAGAAAUUUUUUUUCUGGCAAGACUUUGAACCUGAAAAUUUUCACAUUCAAACGUUUCUAUAUUUAUCCACACUACUUUUACUGUUGGAUGAUUUAGCCCUGGUUGUGAAGACCUCUAACAAGCCUAAUAUAAGAACAAUAAAACAACAGUAAUUGCUAUGAUGCUCCCUGUUACCAAUGGUACGUAACCAAAGUUUUCAUUGUUAAUUAUUAACAUUUAUUAUAUUGAAUGAUUUUUAUUAUUUUUUCAUGACUCUUACUACAUGGUUUUAGGGGUCUGAGGUUUAAGUAUAUUGUAAAUAUAUUACUCUUAUUUUCUGCAUGAAUUUGAGGUUAAAAUUUGGUUCGGUUAAAUUUGGUGUAGAAAUAUUUAACAUUACAGACUCAAAGUUAAUAAAAGCAGAAAGCCCAGAGGACAGGUCGAGGCCAUCUGUUGUGCCCACAGAUACUCAGCCACCCACUCAAUGUACACGUGCACACGCACACACACGCACACGCACACACACGCACACACGGACUUUCCAUGUAAUAAUGUUUUUUUUUGUGCGUUCAUUUCGGUGCCUAUUUUUAUUUAUUUUUUACUCUACAAAUGAAUUUGCGUUCACAACACUAAUGGAAAGCGCCUUUGUUGCCACAGGAAAGACAACUGCGCACACCUUGGACUGCACGCGCAAGAAUGAAAUAUUAACAUGUUUCUACAUUCUGCAUCUGUAUUCAGAAAUGCUCAUUCUGAGUCUGUCAGCAACUAUAUAAUGAAAUUUUCACGUUUUUUAUGAUGCAUUAGAUGAAUUGAUUUUCAGCCUGAGAGGGCAUCUUGGAAUAAGCCUGCCUGAGACUGGAAAAAAAAAUUCUGCAUAAGAAAGCGCUGGAAAUAUUGUAAUUGCUGAUGAAUAUUUAAGAGAAAAGGGUCAUUGGGGAAUUAAAUAAAAUAAAUACCAAUAUGCAUUGGAUUUAUAGGAACAUUUACUUUUAAUGAGGUCAAACAAAGGGAAGGUAGGAAAGCUGUUGAUUUUUUUUUAAAAGAAAAUGACUAUUCACAAACCUAAUUAAAAAAAAACUCUUCAGACAGGAUUGAGCCAGAGAUUCAGCAUGAGUGUGAUGAUUCCGUUUCUUAACUUUUGAGCUGAGUACAUUAAAAGUUAUACAGUAUUGUGUAAGAAAGCAAACUGUGUCAUCUAUAUUUUGUUCAAAACAUUAUGCCUAUUAUUGCAGAUGGAACAGCAAUUAGAAAUAUUUGAUGUCACCAGCUAAAAGCGCUGAUGUUUUGUUAUCGUUCCUGUAAUUAAUAUAAUAGAUAUGUAACACUAAUAAACCUGGAGACACUUUACUUUCA